UGAACGCUGGCGGCGUGCUUAACACAUGCAAGUCGAGCGAAGCACUUAGGAAAGAUUCUUCGGAUGAUUUCCUAUUUGACUGAGCGGCGGACGGGUGAGUAACGCGUGGGUAACCUGCCUCAUACAGGGGGAUAACAGUUAGAAAUGACUGCUAAUACCGCAUAAGACCACAGCACCGCAUGGUGCAGGGGUAAAAACUCCGGUGGUAUGAGAUGGACCCGCGUCUGAUUAGUUAGUUGGUGGGGUAACGGCCUACCAAGGCGACGAUCAGUAGCCGACCUGAGAGGGUGACCGGCCACAUUGGGACUGAGACACGGCCCAAACUCCUACGGGAGGCAGCAGUGGGGAAUAUUGCACAAUGGGGGAAACCCUGAUGCAGCGACGCCGCGUGAGCGAAGAAGUAUUUCGGUAUGUAAAGUUCUAUCAGCAGGGAAGAAAAUGACGGUACCUGACUAAGAAGCCCCGGCUAACUACGUGCCAGCAGCCGCGGUAAUACGUAGGGGGCAAGCGUUAUCCGGAUUUACUGGGUGUAAAGGGAGCGUAGACGGAGCAGCAAGUCUGAUGUGAAAACCCGGGGCUCAACCCCGGGACUGCAUUGGAAACUGUUGAUCUGGAGUGCCGGAGAGGUAAGCGGAAUUCCUAGUGUAGCGGUGAAAUGCGUAGAUAUUAGGAGGAACACCAGUGGCGAAGGCGGCUUACUGGACGGUAACUUGACGUUGAGGCUCGAAAGCGUGGGGAGCAAACAGGAUUAGAUACCCCUGGUAGUCCCCGCCCGUAAACGAUGACUUACUAGGUGUCCGGUGGCAAAGCCAUUCCGUGCCGCAGCUAACGCAAUAAGUAGUCCACCUGGGGAGUACGUUGGCAAGAAUGAAACUCAAAGGAAUUGACGGGGACCCGCACAAGCGGUGGAGCAUGUGGUUUAAUUUGAAGCAACGCGGAAGAACCUUGCCUGCUCUUGACAUCCCGGUGACGGCAGAGUAAUGUCUGCUUUUAUUCGGAACACCGGUGACAGGUGGUGCAUGGUUGUCGUCAGCUCGUGUCGUGAGAUGUUGGGUUAAGUCCCGCAACGAGCGCAACCCCUAUCUUCAGUAGCCAGCGGUAAGGCCGGGCACUCUGGAGAGACUGCCAGGGAUAACCUGGAGGAAGGUGGGGAUGACGUCAAAUCAUCAUGCCCCUUAUGAGCAGGGCUACACACGUGCUACAAUGGCGUAAACAAAGGGAAGCGAACCCGCGAGGGUGGGCAAAUCCCAAAAAUAACGUCUCAGUUCGGAUUGUAGUCUGCAACUCGACUACAUGAAGCUGGAAUCGCUAGUAAUCGCGAAUCAGAAUGUCGCGGUGAAUACGUUCCCGGGUCUUGUACACACCGCCCGUCACACCAUGGGAGUCAGUAACGCCCGAAGUCAGUGACCCAACCGUAAGGAGGGAGCUGCCGAAGGUGGGACCGAUAACUGGGGUG
This 1456-nucleotide ribosomal RNA is filed under the name uncultured organism. Its description in RNAcentral is "SSU rRNA". It matches the Rfam family "Bacterial small subunit ribosomal RNA". The record is from RNAcentral.